RNAcentral lists this long non-coding RNA (429 nucleotides) under Betta splendens (Siamese fighting fish). RNAcentral's name for it is "lncRNA (ENSBSLG00000006850.1)". The record is from RNAcentral. Lineage: Eukaryota; Metazoa; Chordata; Actinopteri; Anabantiformes; Osphronemidae.
ACACUGGCAAAGCAACAGCCCUCACCACGCAAAGAAGAAACCGUAGCCACAAUCAGGCAUCUGCUUCCAGAGGUCCUUCAGCCUCCACCACGUGGAAGACGGGCCCACUGCCGUAAUGGCUUUGUCCCUGUUGGCGGCUUCACUGGAACAACCCAUGGUUCGGGGCUUUGCUCAACUGCACUUUGACGGCAGCCGGUUGAAGGAAUAACUGGCUGCCAGGGGCUGGUAGAGUUCAAUGAACAUGCAAAGUGUACAGCUGUUAUCGUUGACUGGUGGCCAAAACCGAAAUUGGAGCUUUGAAACCAGCCGGGUGUAAAUAGUAAGUGUUUGAAACACAGUGGCCCCUUUUUUCUUUUUUUGAGUCUUUAAUCUCAUAAUCUGAUGACAAACAUAAGCAAUAAGCAGUGAAAUAUUUUCCAUUAGGUGUUC